Daphnia magna is the source of this 2484-nucleotide long non-coding RNA. RefSeq lists it as uncharacterized. NCBI's taxonomy places the organism in Eukaryota, Metazoa, Arthropoda, Branchiopoda, Diplostraca, Daphniidae. The record is from RefSeq and is a predicted model, not a curated record. The transcript is spliced from 8 exons.
UUUGUUCGUCUGGUGCUAUUCUUCGUCAUCGAUGUUCAGUUCACGUCACAGUCGGGUCCUAGACAAAUUGAAAUGAAAAUUGGAAACCGGUGUUCAGUUCUCGUGGCUCGUGUCAUUCUUGAAGCUUUGUGUAUAGUUCAAAUGAUUAGAAAAGUAACAAAGAAACUUCUCUACAGUUCAAAAUUUCAAUGUUAGAUUAAUGCAAUUGCAUUUGUUUUCAUUAAGAAGUUCAAUUGUUACACACUGAUUUUUUGGUAGGUAAAACCCAUUUUUUCCCUCAUCUUGGAAAUCCCUUAACCGUAAGGCCUAAAAUAUUUUAUAGCCGCGAAAGUGGAAUAAUUUAUGACUUAGAGGUUAAUUGUUUCUCACUUCCACGUAUCUACUCUAUGACUGGUUUGGCUGCUUGUAAUAACCAAGGUUACUUUUGACAAUUUCAACAUUUUAUUUAAUUGCACAAUUUUUAACUGAAGAUGUAAUUCAGCUACUGCAGUGUAAUUAACUAAUUAUGCAAACAUUGCAAAUUUGCAAUCAAUUGACUUGGUCAUAAUCGAUCCAAUUUGUAAUCGAUUCACAAAAAAUCGGCCCGAUUAUAGUCAAUUAGUGUCUAUCGUCUAUCGCAGUUUACUGUUUAGCUUCAACCAGACAAGGACGAAGGAAUUUAUUUGGAACAACGUCUCUGCCAGUGGCCGCCAUGUGUGCACAUGACUAAGAAACUUAAUUUUGGUUAUUAUAGUUGCAUUUAAAAAAAAAAUGCUAAAGCGAUUAAUAUCACGUGAAUCAUUUGGACUAUUAUGUGGAAAACCUUGAUAUGAAUCAAUUCGUAUUGGAUAGUAUAAAGGGUCCUGUUGAGCUGGGAAAAGUUUCUUGGAAACUCGAAAUAAUAAACUAUCCUGGUCUCCCAAUAGCAAUUAAUGCUUGCUACAUUUUAAAAAUGUUUACUGAUCUUCCACCACCUAUGUUGCUUUCCAUGACAUGGGUACUUAAAGGAGUUGUACUUGGACCUAAAUCUGCUAGCAAAAAAGAUUAGAAAGAAAAUUUUCAAAGGAAUUUAAUGUGAGGAACUAAAAACUGCACUUUAUCUCACGGAAGGAAAAUGGAGGUCAGAGAAUGUGCAGAAUGAGUAUUGGUUAAUAUCACAUUUCUUUCCAACACCUACUUUGUUAUCUCUGGAGUAUGUUCAAUUACUGUUGUAUAAUUCCCAACAUAAAGGUAAGGUUUUAAAAUUUAUUUAUUAUGGUUUUUGAGAUAUUUUGUCUUUUGUGUUGAUGCUGGGUCUAGUUCAGUAUAGAAAUGUAGUAACCAGAGAGUAAACAGUAUGUGUUGAUGCAAUCACAGCUCAAACAUGCCAUGGGGAUUGGUCAGUUUGUGACCCAGAUACCAGUAUUUCUUCUGGCCAUCAUUUUCUGUUUAAAUUUGUGAAACUGGCAAUAUUUCCAAUUUACUGGCUACAGAAACUAACGUAUUUUCUAUUUUACCCUAGAAAGUUUUAUCCAUCAAGAAGCUGGAGCACUGCAGAAAUGAAGAAUUCUUCCUAACCCUGUGUGUACUUAUUCAAAGAAGGAUAAACACUUGUUACCUGCAACAAUGUUGAUAAUGAUGUCAUAAAACUUUGAAGUCUAGCAUUGUCAGUUGAUUUGUAGGUUGAAAUUCCGCAAAGGCUUUACACAUAUUCUACAGUUUAGUACUGACAGGUGACAUGUAAAGUUGAAUUUAUGUGUGGUGAUGACACAAACUUGUGGAGAUUUGCUGGCAAAAAGUCAAUCCCUUCAAUGGAAACAAUUUUAAAACUUUCUGCUAUCAGUGUGUUUUUGUUCCUCUUCCUCUCAAUGAACAACCAAACUUGAUGUUGCUCUUGUGAUGUAUCUGGAUUAUUGAAUCUUUUCAUUGCUAUUUUUUAAAUCCUUAAUGAUAUGAGUAUUUUCCUCAUAUCAUUAAGGGAUAACCUAACUUAAUGUUGCCUCGUGAUGGAUUUGGAUUAUUGGUAGGAAAAUGGAAAGCGUCACCAACUAUCUGAUCGCUCUCAUCUUCGGUACGGAGCUUUUAAAAAACCGUGUUGCACAAGAGCCCUUUCUGCAAGGCAGAGCUAAACUAAAAUUGCCUCGAGAAAGUGCAUGCCGAAUCAUCGUAUCUUUGUUUAAUUUCUUUUUAGUUUCGUGGAUCAUUCGUGUCUGUUAAGGAUUUCGGCAAAGAGCUGCUGGCGGAUAUCGCAACAAUUCUGAAACAUUCCACAUGAUUCCUCGACUGCAUCUGAUUGUCAGCGAUGUGGAUGAAAUCGUCAUUUCGCAAAACCAGCAAAGUGGGCCAAAGGUCAUCGGCUUUUCCGUUUAUCCUUUGCUUAAACUCACGGGUUCUGAUCUCAUCGAUCAAGCCUUUUUUUGUCAGAAGAUGAGUCAAUACCUCAAGUGAUAUUUUAUUGUUCCAAAAACUUUUGAAACGGGUAACGAAGGAUAUUUUACUCUACGCGUGUACAGCGCUCAGGCAAUU